CAGCCGUAAACUAUGCGCGUUAGGUGUACUGGUGACCACGAGUCACCGGGGUGCCGAAGGGAAACCGUGAAACGUGCCGCCUGGGAAGUACGGUCGCAAGGCUGAAACUUAAAGGAAUUGGCGGGGGGAGGCACCACAACGGGUGGGAGCCUGCGGUUUAAUUGGACUCAACGCCGGAAAUCUCACCGGAUAGGACAGACAUAUGAUAGUCGGGCUGAAGACUCUACUUGAUGAUCUGAGAGGAGGUGCAUGGCGUCAGUGACU
Molecule: ribosomal RNA, 264 nt
Filed under: uncultured archaeon
Lineage: Archaea
Description: partial 16S ribosomal RNA
Rfam family: Archaeal small subunit ribosomal RNA
Source: RNAcentral